Molecule: RNA transcript, 575 nt
Organism: Populus trichocarpa (black cottonwood)
Lineage: Eukaryota; Viridiplantae; Streptophyta; Magnoliopsida; Malpighiales; Salicaceae
Exons: 4
Source: RefSeq, a predicted model, not a curated record
UCGAUAACAUACAAGUUCUUGCGUACGUCCACAACAACUAAAACCAUGUGCUACAAAGUAACGUGCAAGCAAUGCAAUAAAUAUUCCUGGGGUGGGUGUGGCAACCACCUCACCGCCGUGUAUGCGGGCAUAGAGAAGGGAAAGCACUGCACGUGCAAGCCAUGGCCGGGGGUUGUCAUCCUUACGGAGGAGACAGCUGCCGAGCAACAACCAUAUAGAGCUUUAUCAGCUAAUUCAGCUACCAAGGCGGCUGCAGAUGCAAGGCAUCAUCGCAGAUGGUGGCGUGUCUAGAUUCAAGGUAUCAAGUAGAUAAUGUUAAGAGCUAUACAUAUGUCACUCGGAACUCCUAAAGAUGAAUGCCUGGGGGCUGGGGAGAGAGUACUACGUUACAAUAAAGAGUCAUGUUGUGUUUGUGCAUGAAUAAUGGAUACCGUUGCUUGCUUGUACCAUUUUCGUCCAAGCUCUGCUAUAUAUCUUCUGAUUAUGGUCAUUGUUGCAUCGGCCAACCUGGGUUUUCUCUUAUUUUCUUAUCUGAAUGUAUGGAAUAAUUAAUAAAGAAUCAAACUUAACUACUC